Molecule: ribosomal RNA, 497 nt
Filed under: uncultured bacterium
Lineage: Bacteria
Description: partial 16S ribosomal RNA
Rfam family: Bacterial small subunit ribosomal RNA
Source: RNAcentral
GAUGAACGCUGGCGGCGUGCCUAAUACAUGCAAGUCGAGCGAACAGACGAGGAGCUUGCUCCUCUGACGUUAGCGGCGGACGGGUGAGUAACACGUGGAUAACCUACCUAUAAGACUGGGAUAACUUCGGGAAACCGGAGCUAAUACCGGAUAAUAUAUUGAACCGCAUGGUUCAAUAGUGAAAGACGGUUUUGCUGUCACUUAUAGAUGGAUCCGCGCCGCAUUAGCUAGUUGGUAAGGUAACGGCUUACCAAGGCGACGAUGGGUAGCCGACCUGAGAGGGUGAUUCGCCACACUGGAACUGAGACACGGUCCAGACUCCUACGGGAGGCAGCAGUAGGGAAUCUUCCGCAAUGGGCGAAAGCCUGACGGAGCAACGCCGCGUGAGUGAUGAAGGUCUUCGGAUCGUAAAACUCUGUUAUUAGGGAAGAACAAAUGUGUAAGUAACUAUGCACGUCUUGACGGUACCUAAUCAGAAAGCCACGGCUAACUACGUG